AUGGGUUGUGUGGAGGUCCUGCAGUCAAUGCGAGCCCUUGACUUCAACACGCGGACUCAGGUCACCAGGGAGGCCAUCAGUCUGGUGUGUGAGGCUGUGCCGGGUGCUAAGGGGGCGACAAAGAGGAGAAAGCCUUGUAGCCGCCCACUCAGCUCUAUCCUGGGGAGUAGUAACCUGAAAUUUGCUGGGAUGCCAAUCAUUCUCACCGUCUCCACCAGCAGCCUCAACCUCAUGGCCGCAGCCUGCAAACAGAUCAUCGCCAACCACCACAUGCAAUCUGUCUCAUUUGCGUCUGGCAGGGAUCCGGACACAGCUGAGUAUGUCGCCUAUGUUGCCAAAGACCCUGUGAAUCAGAGAGCCUGCCACAUCCUGGAGUGUCCUGAAGGGCUUGCCCAGGACAUCAUCAGCACCACUGACCAGGCCUUCGAGUUGUGCUUCAAACAAUACCUCGGGAACCCCCCAAAACUGGUCACCCCCCCAUGACAGGAUGGCUGGCUUUGAUGGCUCAGCUUGGGAUGAGGAGGAGGAUGAGCCACCCGAUCAUCAGUACUAUAAUGACUUCCCUGGGAAGGAACCCCCUCUUGGGGGGGUGGUAGACAUGAGGCUUCGGGAAGGAGCCACUCCAGGGGCUCCUCGCCCGACUCCACCCAGUACGCAAACCCCCAACCACUUGGGAGCUACACUGCCUGUAGGCCAGCCUAUUGGGGGAGAACCAGAAGUCCGCAAACAGAUGCCACCACCACCACCCUGCCCAGCAGGCAGAGAGCUCUUUGAUGAUCCCACCUACAUCAAUGUUCAGAACCUAGACAAGACCCGGCAAGCAGCUGGUGGGGCUGGGACCCCCAAUCCUGCCAUCAAUGGCAGUGCACCCUGGGACCUCUUUGACAUGAAGCCCUUUGAAGAUGCCCUUUGAGUGCCUCCACCUCCCCAGUCUGUGUCCAUGGCUGAGCAGCUCCGAGGGGAGCCCUGGUUUCAUGGGAAGUUAAGCCGGCGGGAGGUUGAGGCACUGCUGCGGCUCAACGGGGACUUCCUGGUGUGGGACAGCACGACCACACCUGGCCAGUAUGUGCUCACUGGCUUGCAGAGUGGGCAGCCCAAGCACCUGCUACUAGUGGAUCCUGAGGGUGUGGUUCGUACAAAGGAUCACCGCUUCAAGAGUGUCAGUCACCUCAUCAGUUACCACAUGGACAAUCACUUGCCCAUCAUCUCUGCAGGCAGCGAACUGUAUCUACAGCAACCUGUGGAGCGGAAACUGUGAUCCGCCCCAAUACUCUCCCAGAAGAUGCCCUCCAACCCCUUCCACCUAGUCCCUAACUCUCAGGACAUCAUUUGGGCGUGUUCUGUGGGCUUGGCCUUGUGUAGGAGCUGGGAGUAGUGUGGAUGCUGGGUUUAGUAUCCCGCUGAGAGGGUUUGAGUCAGAAGCCUAGGGGAGUUUACUGCUUCUCCUCAGACAUCACCAAAGUAUUAAUGUACAGAGUGGCCCUUUGCCUGGGCCUUUCCUGUGCCAGUCUGAUGACCCCUUCCCCAAGGUGAGUGCUUGUCAUGGAAAAUUCCUGUGGUGAUAGGCCCAGUGGAGCAAUCACCCUUCUGGGGAAGGGGGAAUGAAUCACACCUC
Carlito syrichta (Philippine tarsier) is the source of this 1615-nucleotide RNA transcript. It is a transcript of the gene named SHC-transforming protein 1 pseudogene, with no coding region annotated. Lineage: Eukaryota; Metazoa; Chordata; Mammalia; Primates; Tarsiidae. The record is from RefSeq and is a predicted model, not a curated record. The transcript has a single exon.